RNAcentral lists this ribosomal RNA (492 nucleotides) under uncultured bacterium. RNAcentral describes it as "partial 16S ribosomal RNA". It matches the Rfam family "Bacterial small subunit ribosomal RNA", at positions 29 to 507 of the family's 1533-position model. The record is from RNAcentral.
AGUGAACGCUGGCGGUAGGCCUAAUACAUGCAAGUCGAACGGACGCACAGUAAGAGCUUGUCCUUACGGGUGGCGAGUGGCGGACGGGUGAGGCAUACAUAGGCUUCCUCUUUUUCGUGGGGGAUAUCGUAGGGCCACUUCUGAUAACACCGCAUAUUUUCUACGGGUGAGUGCAGGGGAUCUUCGCAGCUUGCGCGUUUGUAUGAGAUGAUGUCGGAUUAGCUAGUUGGCGAGGUAAGGGACCACCAAGGCAACGAUACGUAGCUGAUCUGAGAGGAUGAUCCGCCACACUGGAACUGAGACACGGUCCAGACUCCUACGGGAGGCAGCAGUGGGGAAUAUUCGACAAUGGGCGCAAGCCUGAUCCAGCCAUACCGCGUGAGUGAUGAAGGCCUUCGGGUUGUAAAGCCCUGUUAUUAGGAAAGAAAAGCAGUAUGAGAAAACCCCGCUGUUCUGACGGUACCCAAAGAAAAAGCACCGGCUAACUUCGUG